RNAcentral lists this ribosomal RNA (253 nucleotides) under uncultured bacterium. RNAcentral describes it as "partial 16S ribosomal RNA". It matches the Rfam family "Bacterial small subunit ribosomal RNA", at positions 524 to 776 of the family's 1533-position model. The record is from RNAcentral.
UACGUAGGGGGCUAGCGUUGUCCGGAAUCAUUGGGCGUAAAGCGCGCGUAGGCGGCCCGGUAAGUCCGCUGUGAAAGUCAAAGGCUCAACCUUUGAAUGUCAGCGGAUACUGCCGGGCUAGAGUCCGGAAGAGGCGAGUGGAACUCCUGGUGUAGCGGUGGAAUGCGCAGAUAUCAGGAAGAACACCAACGGCGAAGGCAGCUCGCUGGGACGGAACUGACGCUGAGGCGCGAAAGCCAGGGGAGCAAACGGG